RNAcentral lists this ribosomal RNA (253 nucleotides) under uncultured bacterium. Its description in RNAcentral is "partial 16S ribosomal RNA". It matches the Rfam family "Bacterial small subunit ribosomal RNA", at positions 524 to 776 of the family's 1533-position model. The record is from RNAcentral.
UACAGAGGAGCCAAGCGUUGCCCGGAUUGACUGGGCGUAAAGCGCACGCAGGCGGCCGCGCGCGUGGGGUGUGAAAUCUGGCCGCUUAACGGCCAGGCGCCAUCCCAUACGGCGCGGCUGGAGCCAUGCAGAGGGCGGUGGAAUUGCCGGUGUAGUGGUGAAAUGCGUAGAGAUCGGCAGGAACACCCAGGGGGAAACCAGCCGCCUGGGCAUGCGCUGACGCUGAGGUGCGAGAGCGUGGGGAGCGAACCGG